UAAUACGGAGGGUGCAAGCGUUAUCCGGAUUCACUGGGUUUAAAGGGUGCGUAGGUGGGUUGGUAAGUCAGUGGUGAAAUCCCCGAGCUUAACUUGGGAACUGCCAUUGAUACUAUCAAUCUUGAAUAUUGUGGAGGUUAGCGGAAUAUGUCAUGUAGCGGUGAAAUGCUUAGAUAUGACAUAGAACACCAAUUGCGAAGGCAGCUGGCUACACAUAUAUUGACACUGAGGCACGAAAGCGUGGGGAGCAAACAG
Molecule: ribosomal RNA, 255 nt
Filed under: uncultured prokaryote
Description: partial 16S ribosomal RNA
Rfam family: Bacterial small subunit ribosomal RNA
Source: RNAcentral